RNAcentral lists this transfer RNA (65 nucleotides) under pig gut metagenome. It matches the Rfam family "tRNA", at positions 5 to 66 of the family's 71-position model. From Rfam's summary of the family: Transfer RNA (tRNA) molecules are approximately 80 nucleotides in length. Their secondary structure includes four short double-helical elements and three loops (D, anti-codon, and T loops). The record is from RNAcentral.
UCCAUAGUUUAGUGGUAGAACAUUAGCUUCCCAAGCUAAUUGUGUGGGUCCGAUUCCCAUUGGGU